Molecule: ribosomal RNA, 254 nt
Filed under: uncultured bacterium
Lineage: Bacteria
Description: partial 16S ribosomal RNA
Rfam family: Bacterial small subunit ribosomal RNA
Source: RNAcentral
UACGUAGGAGGCAAGCGUUGUCCGGAAUUACUGGGCGUAAAGCGCGUGUAGGUGGUGGGACAAGUCUGCUGUGAAAGCGCCUGGCUUAACCGGGCGAGGUCGGCGGAAACUGUCCGACUCGAGGACGGUAGAGGGGGGUGGAAUUCCCGGGUGUAGUGGUGAAAUGCGUAGAGAUCGGGAGGAACACCUGUGGCGAAGGCGGCCUUCUGGACAGUGACUGACGCUGAGACGCGAAAGCGUGGGGAGCAAACAGG